GCUGCUGUGGUGUAGUGGUCUGAGUGUUGGACUACAUCUCUGGAGACCAGGGUUCGAUUCCCAGCUUAGCC
Non-coding RNA from Phrynosoma platyrhinos (Desert horned lizard), 71 nucleotides. Lineage: Eukaryota; Metazoa; Chordata; Lepidosauria; Squamata; Phrynosomatidae. The record is from the annotation of a GenBank genome assembly.